UCUCAAUUCCCUCAGUCGCACUCUCUCACAACUCUCGUCUCUUUCUUCCUUGCUCUCACAGACCCAUUUCUCGUGCAGGUGUACUGACGGAGGCUUCGGGGGACUUGAUAAUGCGGAGGCUCGGCAUGCUCAAAGACGUGUGGCUGGCAACGAGAUGUGAUGUGGUCGAUGCCGUGAGACUGUAAACGGGGUUGGGUUUGAAGCUUAGAGCUAGGUUGAAGUCGGGGGUUGGUUAAUUUGUAGAGAAGGGGUCGAGAAGAAAGGGAGAGAGGUACUUUAUAAUUGUGGUGCAGAUGAGUUGCAAAGCUGUAUUCUUCACUUCCGAAGUGAAUUCUUAUUUAGGCUCUUGCCUCCAAAAAAUGCUGCCAACGUUGGGGUAGAAAAUAUAUGUACUAGGCUUGUUAGGAGCAUGGCUUCAAGGGUUAUAAUAUUCUUUUUAGACAUGCUUCUCUUAUCAAACCCCUUUCAGAAUCAGGAAAGCUAAGGAUGUGGGCCAGAGGAGACAAGGAGUUUAGUCCUAGAUAUCCUCUUAUGCUUCAAUUAGGUUCAUCCUUGACAGAAAAUGCUCUUGCACCCCAAAAGCAGAAGCAUUGAUGGCUGGUAUAUCUGUAGAGUGCUAUUGUGGAAAGGAACAGCCAAUUUCAAGUUCAUAUAUUUAGGAAGAUUUUUUUGUUGAGAGUAGCAGAUAGAUGGGCUAGUUCUAUUGGCAGUUUUUGAGGUUUGUGGUUAAUUUUUACAAAUUAUUGAUACCCUAUCACCUAAGCGGUCAAUGUUUGUUGUGGAUGAAAGAAAGAGAAUCGUAUGCUAUGCUCACUAAAAAUUUAAAUUUUGUCUUUUUAUUUUUAAUUUCAUCGGCUGAGACUCUCUUCUCAUUUGUUGGGAUAUUGUCCCAAUUUGCAUAUAUUUACAUAUAGUAUAGCAAUAAAGGUUUUUAUGUUCAUUAUCUUAAAGUUUAUCUUCUUAUAAACUUGUAUUUCCUUUUACUUUACUAACAAAAUGGCAAACAAAAUAAUUGUUAAAAUCUUAUAAUUGCUACCUUCUUCAAUUUUGAAUAUUGGCACUUUUAGUUCAAACAAUUGAAUAGAAUAAGUUGUGAUUGUAAUCUUAUUUGAAUGUCAGACUAUUUGUAGUUGUUAUUUAUGGUACAAAAUGCAACUUCUUGGAGUGAAUAAUAAACUUCUUAUGUUUUAGUGU
Long non-coding RNA from Humulus lupulus (European hop), 1194 nucleotides. RefSeq lists it as uncharacterized. NCBI's taxonomy places the organism in Eukaryota, Viridiplantae, Streptophyta, Magnoliopsida, Rosales, Cannabaceae. The transcript has 3 exons. The record is from RefSeq and is a predicted model, not a curated record.